Molecule: long non-coding RNA, 648 nt
Filed under: Elaeis guineensis (African oil palm)
Lineage: Eukaryota; Viridiplantae; Streptophyta; Magnoliopsida; Arecales; Arecaceae
Description: long non-coding RNA (EGUI_LNC031460)
Source: RNAcentral
GAAUAAGAUCAAAGGCCUCAUAGGCGAGAUAGGAGGAGGAGAAAAAUGGGUAGGCAGAAGAGGAUGAGAGAGGAAGAGCACUCAUAAGUCAGCUUAGAGGAGGAAAAUGAUGAGGAGAAGUGAAUUAGAAAAAGAGAGGAGAGAGAAAGAGAGGUUGUCGGUAAGAGAAGAUGGAGAUGGAGGAAGAGAUGGGGAAGGAGAGGUGGGCGGGCUUAGAGGAAGAUGAGAAGAAGUAGGAGAGAAGAAAGAGGAGGAAUGGGAGGAGGGGGCAAGGAGGGCUUGCCAGUGAGAUAGGUGGAGGUGAAGAAAACCAUCAUAAAGGGAGAGAGCUCACAAGCAGACUUGAAAAAGGAGGAGGAAGAGAAGACGGAAGAGAAAUGGAUAAAGAGAAAGAAAAGGAAGGAGGGGUCAUGAUGAGCUUGGAGGAGGAGAAUGAGUAAAAAAACUGAUGAAGAAGAAGAGGAAGAGAAGGAGAGAUAGUCGAUAAGGAAGGAACGGAAGUGGUGGAAGCCACCGUAGAGAAAAACAUGGGCAUGCUUAGAAGAGAAGAAUCCAAAGAGGAGAAGUGGGAGAAGAGAAAAAAGAGGAGGGGGAAGGACUUAGAGGAGGUGGUGGAUGAUGAGGAGAAGAAGAGAAUGAGGAAGAGGA